AGUCCCUUCGGGGGCGAGUAGAGCGGCGGACGGGUGAGUAAUACGUGGAUAAUCUUCCCUCGAGCUUGGGAUAACCCUGCGAAAGUGGGGCUAAUACCGGAUAAGACCACAUAGCAUAUGUUACGUGGUAGAAGGUGGCUUGUAUUUAUAUGAGCUAUCACUUGAGGACGAGUCCAUGGCCUAUCAGCUUGUUGGUGAGGUAAGAGCUCACCAAGGCUAUGACGGGUAGCUGGUCUGAGAGGACGACCAGCCACACUGGGACUGAGACACGGCCCAGACUCCUACGGGAGGCAGCAGUGGGGAAUAUUGGGCAAUGGGCGAAAGCCUGACCCAGCGACGCCGCGUGGGUGAUGAAGGCCUUCGGGUUGUAAAGCCCUUUCGUGCGGAAAGAACAGUCCUGUAGCGAAUACCUACAGGGUUUGACGGUACCGCAGGAAGAAGCACCGGCUAACUCCGUGCCAGCAGCCGCGGUAAUACGGAGGGUGCAAGCGUUGUUCGGAAUUAUUGGGCGUAAAGGGCGCGUAGGCGGUAGUGAUAGUCAGAUGUGAAAUCCUCCGGCUCAACUGGAGAACUGCAUCUGAAACUUCACAACUCGAGUACAGGAGAG
This 607-nucleotide ribosomal RNA is filed under the name uncultured bacterium. RNAcentral's name for it is "bacterial SSU rRNA". It matches the Rfam family "Bacterial small subunit ribosomal RNA", at positions 73 to 656 of the family's 1533-position model. The record is from RNAcentral.